RNAcentral lists this non-coding RNA (148 nucleotides) under Homo sapiens (human). The record is from Rfam by way of RNAcentral. Lineage: Eukaryota; Metazoa; Chordata; Mammalia; Primates; Hominidae.
GCUGGGCGUGGUGGCGCACGCCUGUAGUCCCAGCUUCGUGGGAGGCAGAGACAGGAGAAUUGCUUGAACCCAGAAGGCAGAGGUUUCAGUGAGCCGAGAUCAUGCCACUGCACUCCAGCCUGGGUGACAGAGCAAGACUCUGUCUCAA